This 253-nucleotide ribosomal RNA is filed under the name uncultured bacterium. RNAcentral's name for it is "partial 16S ribosomal RNA". It matches the Rfam family "Bacterial small subunit ribosomal RNA", at positions 524 to 776 of the family's 1533-position model. The record is from RNAcentral.
UACGUAGGGUGCAAGCGUUGUCCGGAAUUACUGGGCGUAAAGCGCACGUAGGCGGCUCUUUAAGUCGGGGGUGAAAUCCUGGAGCUCAACUCCAGAACUGCCUUCGAUACUGAAGAGCUUGAGUCCGGGAGAGGUGAGUGGAACUGCGAGUGUAGAGGUGAAAUUCGUAGAUAUUCGCAAGAACACCAGUGGCGAAGGCGGCUCACUGGCCCGGUACUGACGCUGAGGUGCGAAAGCGUGGGGAGCAAACAGG